Molecule: long non-coding RNA, 2291 nt
Organism: Patella vulgata (common limpet)
Lineage: Eukaryota; Metazoa; Mollusca; Gastropoda; Patellidae
Exons: 6
Source: RefSeq, a predicted model, not a curated record
GAUGCGACUGAACGAAAAUCGCGGACUCUGAAGUUUAUCAAAAAACAAUCAAACGAUGUAUCGUCUAUUAUCUUAACAGUGUCGCAAUUCCCUGAAUAUAAUUCUCGCACUUCAAGUCAUCAACCAAAAUAGAAUUAGCGACUCAUAUGAUUGUUUUUAUUCACGAUAAGCCAUGUUCGACCUAAAGACGAUUCUGAGGAUGUCGAUUAACACAAAGUAACAUACUCAUUAUUUUUAUUCUUUUGUGCCACCAAUCGUGGCACGAUCUUCAAAGAAAUUAGCCGAGAGUGGACACGGGUAAGGGCCGGGGGCAGACGAAAGUGAGAAUAACAAUGUGUAUUGUCAACAAGUAACAACGAGUCAUGUCCACUACUAAAUUUGUAUUUCCUCUUACGGAACACACAGACUGACCAUGAAGAACUUUUUAGUAUUAUUUUCUAUUUAAAACUUUUAUGUAAAUCUGUGGUGGCAUCAACACUGUUGAUUAGAGUUUUUGUACAGAAAACACGUUCUUGUUGUCCACUUGAUCAACCAAAUAACAUCACAGCAGAGAAAACUGUACAAUUUGUGUGUUUAUCGGUACAUUAUGAACAUGGCACCACCCAAACCACGUCUACAUAUCACAAGAAACGACGACGUACUUCAAAAAAACUGGCAACUCUUAAAGACAAGACUUCACGGGAAUUGAAGAAAAUAAAACACAAACAGAAAAAACAAUGUCAAAGAUAUUGGUUUAAAGACGAGAAUCUACGUAAAGACACUCGCUGUAAGGAGAUGUUGAUUGGUGGAUUAGAAAUAAAAAAAUCAGCCAUGGAGGCCCAUAUGACGCAGUUGCAAUACUACGUCACAUUCUCACGAGAUCAACUAGAGAUGCAACGAGAAAGAAAUAAAAUCAUUCAAGAUAAUAUUGAUCAAUGUGGUAAACAUGUUGGUAACAAUAAUAUACCAUCUUAUCAAGAAGGCAUGGCUAGAUAAAUUUGAAUCCAUUUAUGAUAGAGCACAACCUACAUAUGUCAACUUUCUCAGACAACUUACAAGAUAUCGUGAAAAAAAAAAUUAAAUAAAGAUACCCAGCGAAAUCAAAGAUCGUAGCUUAUCGUAAAAUUUACUGCAAUAUUCCUGUGUAAGCAUUAUUUAUCAUAUCAACAUAUUUACAUAGUUAAACCUACUAUACCCUUUAAAUAAAUUUUCAACUAUGUUGUAAAUUAUAUUUUAUCGCCACUUUUUAUAUAUUAUAGAGAGCUGUCUUAGAUGGUAUUGUUCAUUAAUUUAAUACUUAAGUCUUUAUAAGCAUGUUUAUAUAAAAAUUUGCUAAUAUUGUUCAAUUUGUAGGCAUAAUGGAAUAUACUGGAUAAUUGAAUUCUUAUUCAGACUUAUGAUACAGUCGAUUUAUGUCUUGUUUACGAUAAUAUUUGUACCUGAAAACAACUUCAAAAUUAUAUUACAAGUAGGAAAUAUGACGUGUAACUUGAUUUGGGUGCUAUUUUAUGUCCAAAAGUCAUGUUUACCGGAAAUGCGACCUGGUUCGAGUGCAGUUUAACAUCAAUUUAAAUGCAGGACAACUCUAUAUUAGUGUAAGUUUGGUUUCUAUAAGACUUGUGGUGUUACUUCUAUACCUCCAGUCCAAGUAAACCAACGGUAAUAAGUCAUUGAUCAUUAUUGUCCCUAUUGGGACUUUGUUUCAUUUCUCUGAAAAUAUCCAUUUCUUUGUAAAAAAAAAAAAAAGAAAAGAAAAGUGGUUUGAGAUGUCGAGGUUUUUCUGUCAAGAUGAAUUUGUUUACCUUGGUAACGCGAGCCGAACGAACAAAACAAUUAAUUGAAAGUCUUGUUACAGACGGCUCGGGUCAGUCGGUAACUAAUGAUGAUGAUAAAAUAGUACAAGGUUAAACUUGUUGAUAUCUGUUAAAGAUCCUCGUCCUGUAUAAAGAAAUCUUUUCAUUUCAUUGACAACUCGACUGCAAGGUCUGCUACUAGGUAUAGUGUGCUAUGAGGAAAAUUUUGCCCGGUCAGCGGCGCUACGGCAUACUCUUAUUUUGAAUUCCAACUGUCGAGGGGUCUUUUAGGUGCACGAUAAUGUGUAUACGGGAUGCUGUUUUUCUUCCCAUCGGAACGACUAUACGUUGUCCUACACCACUUUCUAGGCCAACACCAGCAUCGAACACGGGCCCUCUGGGUUAGCGAGCCAACAUUUUACCAACGUUAGCCGUGGUUCCUGUCUCUAAAAUGUAGAUUGCAUCAUAUUCAUAGAACCUUUGUAUACGGACCAGGUGGGAAAUCUUUUUAUUGAUAAA